This 554-nucleotide ribosomal RNA is filed under the name Mychodea acicularis. Its description in RNAcentral is "eukaryotic LSU rRNA". It matches the Rfam family "Eukaryotic large subunit ribosomal RNA", at positions 364 to 1006 of the family's 3401-position model. Lineage: Eukaryota; Rhodophyta; Florideophyceae; Gigartinales; Mychodeaceae. The record is from RNAcentral.
AUGAAAAGCACUUUGAAAAGAGGGUGAAAAGAACCUGAAACCGUCACGGGGGAAGCGGAUUGCGUUGGCCUGGUGGGCGCCUGUGUGUUCAGCCUUUUUGGGUGCAUUGACAUAGGUGCUUAUCCGCCGUGGGUUUUCGGGGGCCGAUGUUGGGUCUCCGGAGGCUGAGGGCUCCCUUCGGGUGAGGACGGCGGAGUGACGACGCGAUACGACCCGUCUUGAAACACGGACCAAGGAGUCUAGCGCGGGUGCGAGUCGGAGGGUGCAAGCCCGUGGGCGAAGUGAAAGCGAGUUUAAAAACGAGCAGUUUGGGGCGGCAUAAGAUCGUUGAUCUUAAGACCGACCCAGAGCAGUUGCGCUGGGACCCGAAAGAUGGUGAACUAUGCCGGAGUAGGGCAAAGCCAGAGGAAACUCUGGUGGAGGCUCGUAGCGGUGCUGACGUGCAAAUCGCUCGUCCAACUUGGGUAUAGGGGCGAAAGACUAAUCGAACCAUCUAGUAGCUGGUUCCCUCCGAAGUUUCUCUCAGGAUAGCGGGCCGACAAGUUGUUUUGUGC